AUGUUGACAGCACUGUCAAUACUAAUGAAAUGUUUCUGUUAUUUUUUUCCAAAAAUCUUAGAUAACUUAGUGUCUGCCUGUGACCUGCCAGAAAAUGCAGUUUUUCAGAGACUUUUCAGACUUUACCGAAAAGCUCUACUUCUCAGUAGCUGCACUGAGGAAACACAGGAAACAAUCGCUGUGUCACUCACUUGGUGUAACAAAGAGAAGGUGUACACAUGUGUGCCGAAGCGUCAGCAGGUGAGUUUUAACCAUGUUAUGUGUUGUGGUACAUUUCUGUGUAUUUAUAAUUUGUUUUAUUAAGUGACGUCUUUGGAUUUUUCUUGUAGAAUUAGCCCAUUUCAGUACCGUGUCACAUGACAAUGCUCUUGCAACUUUGGAGGAGGCUGAAAGUGAGUCAUUAGGUGACUCAGCUACCGAUGAUGACUCGGAUCAUGCAAGCCAGAGAAGUUGUGGCAGUGAGAGAGAGCGAGAUAUGACAGACGGAGAAGUACAAGAUAAAGACCUUGAUUCAGAUGAGCAAGAAAACACUAAUGUAGAUAAAUAUUUGACUAGUCAGAACACUACAAAAUGGUCAUGUGUACUUGAAUGAACCAAUAUUAGAACUGUCAGAAAAUGUUAUUAGGUGCUUGCCAAGAUUGAAACCUAUUGGACAGAACGCCAACACUGCGAUUCAAUGUCGAAAAUUGUCAGUAGUGGAAGACAUUAUGCUAUAAGAUGUUUUGAAAUACACUCAUUAUGAAAUACAAGGAAACAUCCUUUAUGCAUCAGCAGUAGUAAUACUUGAGCUAUUUGCUCAUUUCUGGAAAGCUUUAUUUUGAACUGUCGAGUAAUUUAUACACCAUCUGAAUAUAUGAUAAUUGAAGUAGUAGUACUUAUCAUGACACCUCACUAUCUGAACUAAAAGCCAUCAUAGCAAGACUUUAUCAUUCUAAUCAUCAGAGUCUAAAGAUUUAUGGAGAAGUGGCAGAUGUGGCAUUGAGAUUUCUUUUUUAGAACAAUAAUGACACCCAAGAGAUUUGGUUUCCUUCAAAACUGCCUACAUUUUGACAAAAUGAUCCACCAAGAAAGAAAAAUAUCUGACAAUUUGCCUUCUCAUCACUCAUUUUUGGAAAGCUUUGCUUGAACUGUCAGGCAAUUUGUAUAUUGUCCCAUUUCAUGACCACUGAAGAACAUUUUGCAUCAUUUCAUGGUUGUUGAAGCUUUGGCAACAUAUAUCAAACAAACCUUCCAAAUAUGGUAUAAAAUUAUAUGCCCUGGUAGAUGUGAAGACAUUUUAUACCUUGAACUUAAAAAUUUAUCUUGGAACUCAGCCACCAGGUCUUUAUUUGUACAGUAGUAAACCAUAUGAGGUGAACAGAUUUGUUGCACCUAUUUCAAAAAAUAACCCAAAAGUCACCUUUGACAAUUGGUUCACUAGUUACCCACUGAUGCUACAUUUGCUAAAAGAACACCAGUUGACCAACACAGGAACUGUUCACAAGAACAAGGUAGAGAUUUCUGAAAAAAUGUUGCCAGUUCACAGUAGAGGAAUAUAUAAUAUAUCCCUCUAUUUGUAUUUCAGAAAGAUAUGACAUUGGUCUCCUGUGUGGUAAAGAAAAACAAAAUAGUACUGAUACUGUCAAUAUUGCAUCAUGAUAAUAUAAUCAGUAGUGGAGCCAGGUGUGGUGGUACAGUAAUCCCAACACUUGGAAGGGUGAGGCAGAAAGAGUCUGUGAACUCAUGGUCAGCCUGUGCUAGUAGUAAGUUCUAGACAAGUCUGGACUAUAUUAUGGUGAAGAAAAACACAGGAAUAUCGAUACUGCUACCCUUACACCAGGAUGAUAAGAUUAAUAGUGAGGCAAGGAGUGGUGGUGCAUGCUUGUGAUCCUAGUACUUGAGAGGCUGAGGCAGGAGGAUCAUGUGUGUUCAAGGUCAGCCAAUGUGGCAUAGUGAGUUUAAUACUAGCCUGAGCUAUAUAGUGAGACCUUUCUCAAGAAAUAAAAGAUUGAUAGUGAAUCCUUAACAUAAAUGAAGCCAGAAAUGGUCACAUUUUGCAACAAAAUGAAAGGUAGAGUAGAUGUUGACAAGGCAUGUGGCAACUGUGAUGUCACUUGAAACACAAAGCAUUGGCCAAUGGUUGUGUUGUACUUGAUCCUAAACAUGUCAGACAUAAAUCAUUUCAUAGUUUACAAGGAAAACUGCAAGUGCAAAAUAUCAGGGAGAAAUUCUUUUAAAGGACUGGGACUGGAAUUGAUAAAAGAUCAGUCACAGCAGUGGAGGAACAAUGUGUAUCUGCCCAAAGAACUUCAUACAGUAAUCAUGGAGCAGACCGGUAAACAGACCGGUAAAACAUCACAAGAACCUCCUAAGAAAACAGGAAGACCAGCAAAAUGCCAAGAAGUCCCUACAAAAAGAUAGGACAACAAAACACAUGUGCUAUCAGUGGAAGCCAUGCUUGUGGAUGGAACAUGCUACUUUUAUUUGUGAAGGCUGCCCUAGUCUUGAUAAUUGAAGUACAGAUUAUUUUUGUGGUAGAGUUUUAUAUGUAUUUUCAUUGUAGUUCACGUAAGAAUUUAUUUCUGUUGCUGUUUUUAGAUUUAGCAAGCAAAUGAACAGUUGAUGUGGAAAAUGUUGAUAUUUAUUCUAAACAUUCAAUAUAUAAUUGUUUUUUUAUUUUAUAGAGAUUUCAUUUUUCUGUUAAGUCCACAUUGUAUAAUAUAAUAUGAACCCUCUGACAAAACAUAAACAUGAGAGGUCACAAGUUUGACCUGCCAAAAAAGGUAGAAAAGCAAAACUCACACGCUAUCAAUUUAAGCAAUACUUGUGUAUAGAACAUGCUAUUUGUAUAUGUGAAGACUGUCUUAUGUGUGAUAAUUUAAAAUGAGAUCGUUUCUGUGAUAAAGUUUUAUCUAUAUUUUCAUUGUAAUUCACAUAGGAAUUUAUUUCUGCUGCUGUGUUUUAGAUUCUGUAAGCAAGUAAACAGUUGAUGUUGAAAAUGUUGAUGUUUAUUCUAAACACUCAUUAUUUGUUAAAAAUGUAAUGUUUUAUUGAUACUUUUUCUUCCUGUUAAGUACACAUUGUUCCAUAUAACAAAAGUCAUAAAAUUAAAAUUAAUAAUUCAUCAAUAGAAAGCUUCCUAAAAAUACACGUGGAGGUUAAACACUCUCCCUAAUAUGCCUUUCGAAAAAUUUAUCAUCUCGCGCCUGUAAGAUAGGUGCAUUUAUAAUAUGAUUCAAUAAGUGUCUAAAUGCAUAUAUUUCCCAAACUUUUAUAUUAUGAGUAAUAUAAAUUAUGAAAACAAAAUAAAUGGAAGCUUUAAGAAAACAAAGUAGCUUUUUUGCUGGGGAUUUAGCUCAGCGGCACAGCGCCUGACUGGCAAGCGUGAAGUCGUGAGUUCGAUUACUGGUACUGAAAAAAAACAAAAACAAAAACAAAAAGAAAAACACAAAUAAACAAAAAAAGUAGCUUUUUCUUUCUGGUACUGCCAGUUAGUAACUUAACCCUGAUGAAUUAUGUUUAUGAACGGUGAGGUAAGGCAAGUGAUAAUCAAUUUAG
RNAcentral lists this long non-coding RNA (3537 nucleotides) under Chinchilla lanigera (long-tailed chinchilla). Its description in RNAcentral is "lncRNA (ENSCLAG00000025019.1)". Lineage: Eukaryota; Metazoa; Chordata; Mammalia; Rodentia; Chinchillidae. The record is from RNAcentral.